UGAGAUGGAGGCUCACUCUGUUGCCCAGGCUAGAGAGCAAUGGCAUGAUCUUGGCUCCCUGCAACCUCCGCCUCCCUACUGAAGCUGAAGCAGCUGCAAGAAACAGACCUCUCAGAUACUGGAACUAGGAAGGAAGAGGUGAUUUAUUUUGGCUGGAGCAAGGCGAUACAUUUGUCUAACAGCCAAGCUCUCCUAACAAAGAGAAGCUCUGCCUCUGUAUAGGCUUACAACUCUUGAUAUUACACGUGAUGGGUCUUGGUCGAUGGACUAGGAGUGGGGUGGGGGUUUGAUCUUGUUUAAGUAAAAACAAUGCCUUCUGGAGAGAUUCCCCCAUUUUAUGCCUGCUAUCUAUAGGAAGGCAAUUAAGGAGGUGCCAAGCGGCCAGCCUCUCCUUCUAUUAAAUGCAGCGUGGAAGUCAAGGGGGGAGGUAAUCCUAGAUGCUUGGGUCUCCUUCCUCCCUACAACCUCUGCCCCCCUACAACCUCUGCCUGCCAGAUUCAAGUGAUUCUCCUGCCUCAGCCUCCCAAGUAGCUGGGACUACAGGCACUUGCCACCAUACUCAGCUAAUUUUUUGUAUUUUUAGUAGAGAUGGGGUUUCACCAUCCUGACCAACAUGGUGAAACCCCAUCUCUACUAAAAAUACAAAGCAUUAGCUGGGCGUGGUGGUGCAUGCCUGUUAUCCCAGCUACUUGGAAGGCUGAGGCAGGAGAAUCACUGGAACCUGGGAGAUGGAGGUUGCAGUGAGGCGAAAUCCUGCCAUUGCACUCCAGCCUGGCAACUAGAACAAAACUCCUUCUCAAAAAAAAAAGAAACCAAGCAUUUAGAGUCAGACAACACUGGAUUCAAAUCCCAGAUUUUCUGCUUACUAGCUAAAUAACCUAGAGUUAACAUCUCUCUAAGCCUCAGUUUCUGUAUCUGAAAAAUGGAGGUGAUAAUAUAACCUACCUGGCAGUAAGGAUUAGUUGAGGUUAAAAAGUGUUAGAGUCAUUUUUCACUUCUCCCUGACACACUUCUAGCUAACACUACUGCUCUCUUAACUCAUUAUAAGUUUGCUUGGCACUGCAAUGGAUGAUAUAAGAGGAUAGAAUAUCUACCCAGUAACUGACCAGUUCUCACCAACUCCACUGUUGGUUACUAUUUGGUCUUACCCUGAUUGUCACUCACCUGCAUUAUUAUAUAGCGGGAAUCACCUCCUAACUUAUUAUCCUGCUUCCACUUGUCCUCCUAGCUAGUGAUUCUUUUAAAACAAGUCAGAAAUAACACUGCUCUGCUUAAAAUCCUAAAGUGGCUUUCCAUUUCACUCUGAAGAAAAGCCAAAGUCCUUAUAAUGGUCAAAGGCCCUAUGGGAUCCCCUCCCUACCCACCCGCCACAUCAGCCACACUGACCUCUUUACUGCUGCUUGAAGUCCACAAA
RNAcentral lists this long non-coding RNA (1414 nucleotides) under Callithrix jacchus (white-tufted-ear marmoset). RNAcentral's name for it is "lncRNA (ENSCJAG00000085202.1)". Lineage: Eukaryota; Metazoa; Chordata; Mammalia; Primates; Cebidae. The record is from RNAcentral.